UAGGGAAUCUUCCACAAUGGACGCAAGUCUGAUGGAGCAACGCCGCGUGAGUGAAGAAGGUUUUCGGACCGUAAAGCUCUGUUGUUGGUGAAGAAGGAUAGAGGUAGUAACUGGCCUUUAUUUGACGGUAAUCAACCAGAAAGUCACGGCUAACUACGUGCCAGCAGCCGCGGUAAUACGUAGGUGGCAAGCGUUGUCCGGAUUUAUUGGGCGUAAAGCGAGCGCAGGCGGAAGAAUAAGUCUGAUGUGAAAGCCCUCGGCUUAACCGAGGAAUUGCAUCGGAAACUGUUUUUCUUGAGUGCAGAAGAGGAGAGUAGAACUCCAUGUGUAGCGGUGGAAUGCGUAGAUAUAUGGAAGAAUACCAGUGGCGAAGGCGGCUCUCUGGUCUGCAACUGACGCUGAGGCUCGAAAGCAUGGGUAGCGAACAGGAUUAGAUACCCUUGGUAG
This 447-nucleotide ribosomal RNA is filed under the name uncultured bacterium. Its description in RNAcentral is "partial 16S ribosomal RNA". It matches the Rfam family "Bacterial small subunit ribosomal RNA", at positions 355 to 793 of the family's 1533-position model. The record is from RNAcentral.